This 431-nucleotide ribosomal RNA is filed under the name uncultured bacterium. Its description in RNAcentral is "bacterial SSU rRNA". It matches the Rfam family "Bacterial small subunit ribosomal RNA", at positions 43 to 524 of the family's 1533-position model. The record is from RNAcentral.
CAGGCCUAACCAUGCAAGUCGAACGAUCACUUCGGGUCUAGUGGCGCACGGGUGCGUAUGCGUGUGGAACCUGCCCUCCGAUGUUCGGAAAUAUCUCUCCGAAAGGGGGCUAUUAUCGAAUAUUGUCUUCAGACCAGAAAUAUAUCGCCUCUAAAUGGCCCGCGUGGGAUUUAAUAUUUGGUGGGGUGUAGGGCUACCAGGGGGACAUCCAUAUCUGGUCUGAAAGGAUGAUCACACACACUGGGGACUGAGACAGGGCCACACUCCUAUAGGAGGCGCCAGUGGGGAAUAUAGGGCAAUGGGCAAAGCCUGAUAUACAAAUGUCGCGUGAGUGAUAAAAGCGUUAUGGUGGUAAGCUCUUUUACCAGGGAUGAUAUUGACAGUACCUGCAGAAUAAGCUCCGGUAAAUCCGUGGCACAAGCCGCGGUAAU